RNAcentral lists this ribosomal RNA (253 nucleotides) under uncultured bacterium. RNAcentral's name for it is "partial 16S ribosomal RNA". It matches the Rfam family "Bacterial small subunit ribosomal RNA", at positions 524 to 776 of the family's 1533-position model. The record is from RNAcentral.
UACGUAGGGUGCGAGCGUUAAUCGGAAUUACUGGGCGUAAAGCGUGCGCAGGCGGUUUUGUAAGCCAGGUGUGAAAGCCCCGGGCUUAACCUGGGAAUGGCAUUUGGGACUGCAAGGCUUGAGUGCGGCAGAGGAGACUGGAAUUCCUGGUGUAGCAGUGAAAUGCGUAGAUAUCAGGAGGAACACCGAUGGCGAAGGCAGGUCUCUGGGCUGACGCUGACGCUCAUGCACGAAAGCGUGGGGAGCAAACAGG